GACGAACGCUGGCGGCGUGCUUAACACAUGCAAGUCGAACGGAAAGGCCCUGCUUUUGUGGGGUGCUCGAGUGGCGAACGGGUGAGUAACACGUGAGUAACCUGCCCUUGACUUUGGGAUAACUUCAGGAAACUGGGGCUAAUACCGGAUAGGAGCUCCUGCUGCAUGGUGGGGGUUGGAAAGUUUCGGCGGUUGGGGAUGGACUCGGGGCUUAUCAGCUUGUUGGGGGGGUAGUGGCUUACCAGGGCUUUGACGGGUAGCCGGCCUGAGAGGGUUACCGGCCACAUUGGGACUGAGAUACGGCCCAGACUCCUACGGGAGGCAGCAGUGGGGAAUAUUGCACAAUGGGCGGAAGCCUGAUGCAGCAACGCCGCUUGCGGGAUGACGGCCUUCGGGUUGUAAACCGCUUUCGCCUGUGACGAAGCGUGAGUGACGGUAAUGGGUAAAGAAGCACCGGCUAACUACGUG
Molecule: ribosomal RNA, 468 nt
Filed under: uncultured bacterium
Lineage: Bacteria
Description: partial 16S ribosomal RNA
Rfam family: Bacterial small subunit ribosomal RNA
Source: RNAcentral